This 399-nucleotide ribosomal RNA is filed under the name Vibrio parahaemolyticus. RNAcentral describes it as "partial 23S ribosomal RNA". It matches the Rfam family "Bacterial large subunit ribosomal RNA", at positions 1 to 450 of the family's 2925-position model. Lineage: Bacteria; Pseudomonadati; Pseudomonadota; Gammaproteobacteria; Vibrionales; Vibrionaceae. The record is from RNAcentral.
GGUUAAGUGACUAAGCGUACACGGUGGAUGCCUUGGCAGUCAGAGGCGAUGAAGGACGUAUUAACUUGCGAUAAGCCCAGAUUAGGCAGUAAAAGCCACUCGAGUCUGGGAUUUCCGAAUGGGGAAACCCACUUACAUAAGUAAGUAUCGCUGCGUGAAUACAUAGCGCAGCGAGGCGAACCGGGGGAACUGAAACAUCUAAGUACCCCGAGGAAAAGAAAUCAACCGAGAUUCCGAAAGUAGCGGCGAGCGAAAUUGGACUAGCCCUUAAGCUUUAUAUGCGUUAGACGAACGGUCUGGAAAGUCCGGCGAUACAGGGUGAUAGCCCCGUAGUUGACAACGCACAUUCAGUGAAAUCGAGUAGGGCGGGACACGUGAUAUCCUGUCUGAAUAUGGGGG